GACGAACGCUGGCGGCGUGCCUAAUACAUGCAAGUAGGACGCAGUUGCGAACGGGUGAGUAACGCGUAGGUAACUACCUAUUAGAGGGGGAUAACUAUUGGAAACGAUAGCUAAUACCGCAUACUAGUAGAUGGACCUGCGUUGUAUUAGCUAGUAGGUAGGGUAAUGGCCUACCUAGGCAACGAUACAUAGCCGGCCUGGGGAGUGUGUCGGGCAACACGGGACUGGGGAAAGGGCCAGAAGCCUUCGGGGGGCAACAGUAGGGGAACUUUGGCAAUGGGGGGAAACCUGACCGAGCAACGCCGCGGGAGUGAAGAAGGUUUUCGGAUCGUAAAGCUCUGUUGUUAAGGAAGCGGUACUUAACCAGAAGGGGACGGCUAACUACGUGCCAGCAGCCGCGGUAAUUC
This 407-nucleotide ribosomal RNA is filed under the name uncultured bacterium. Its description in RNAcentral is "partial 16S ribosomal RNA". It matches the Rfam family "Bacterial small subunit ribosomal RNA", at positions 28 to 526 of the family's 1533-position model. The record is from RNAcentral.